CAAGAAACACUUCACUUUCAUCCUACACUUUACUUUACUAAAGUGUGCUCUCUCUCUCUCCAUCUCUCUAUUUAUCCUUUUUGUUUUUUCUCUUUGAAUCAAACAACGAACUCAACCAACUUUGUUGAAAUUCGAAGAGGAAAUUCAUGGUGAAGCUCAUAUUGGAGUGAAUUUUGCUCGGAUUAUAUUAAAUUUCUAGUUCUCUUCUCCAUUUUUCCAGUUUGAUCUAGCAGUAUAUGGUUCUUUUCAUCCCUCAUCUAUCUUUUUUCACAGGCUCCAGUCAAGGUGUUUGGUUCUUGAAAUCUAUUAUUUUUAUCUGAUUUUUUGAUUAAGCUCUCAAAUUAGUGUUUUAUCUGAUUUGCAUGUCUGAAGCUUUUUCUUACAAAUAAAAAGUGUGUGGUAGCUCACGUUUGGCUGUGAAGAAUGUGUUUCUGGGUCUUUUGUGUCGCCUAAAUUUAUAUAUUUUUCUUUAAAAAAUUGCUACGGCUCUCCCUUCUAUGCACAAUGCAAAUUUUUCGAAUAUAUUUUUAGCCGAUAGGCUCUUAAAUAUUGGAUUAUACAGUUUGGGGGAGUGAAGAAAAAUAUGAGCUUUGAAAUCUAAAGGUGGAGUUCCACUUUGGAUUUUGCCAAUUGCGAACUAGGUCAAACUUUUUCUCAUUAAUUUUCCUCUCUGUGUUAUAAUUUCCUUCCAAAUCGAAGAGACCAUUUUCAGUGAUUAAAAAUCGCUUUGGGUGGAGGUGGACCGCAGGGGGGAACUGCUGCAACAAAUGUGCUAACCUACGUCGAAGGAAGACCACUGGUGGUGGUGUAGGAGGAGCAGGUGGUACCAUGCUUCAAUUUUACACUGACGAUUCCCUAGAACUUAAUAUAUCCCUAGUGUUGUGCUUGUUAUGAGUACUGGCUUCAUAGCCUUUGUUGUGAUCCUUCACUUCAGGGUAAGCUUUACCUUCCGUAGAGAGACCUAAAGAAAUUUGGAUGUCUCUUUUCUGACUUAGGAAAUAUUUGUUGAGCAACAGCUUUGUUCGUUGAAGAAAAACUGAUGAUGUAGCUUUAUUUUUAUUUUUAUUUUUAUUUUUAUUUUUAUUUUGUCUGUGCAAUGAAGUAUAGAAAAAAAUUCUAGUUAUGAGUUAAAAAAAGAAUUUAUCU
Long non-coding RNA from Lycium barbarum (goji berry), 1146 nucleotides. RefSeq lists it as uncharacterized. NCBI's taxonomy places the organism in Eukaryota, Viridiplantae, Streptophyta, Magnoliopsida, Solanales, Solanaceae. The record is from RefSeq and is a predicted model, not a curated record. The transcript has 2 exons.